AGCGGCGGACGGGUGAGUAACACGUGGGUAACCUACCUAUAAGACUGGGAUAACUUCGGGAAACCGGAGCUAAUACCGGAUAAUAUUUCGAACCGCAUGGUUCGAUAGUGAAAGAUGGUUUUGCUAUCACUUAUAGAUGGACCCGCGCCGUAUUAGCUAGUUGGUAAGGUAACGGCUUACCAAGGCGACGAUACGUAGCCGACCUGAGAGGGUGAUCGGCCACACUGGAACUGAGACACGGUCCAGACUCCUACGGGAGGCAGCAGUAGGGAAUCUUCCGCAAUGGGCGAGAGCCUGACGGAGCAACGCCGCGUGAGUGAUGAAGGUCUUCGGAUCGUAAAACUCUGUUAUUAGGGAAGAACAUACGUGUAAGUAACUGUGCACGUCUUGACGGUACCUAAUCAGAAAGCCACGGCUAACUACGUGCCAGCAGCCGCGGUAAUACGUAGGUGGCAAGCGUUAUCCGGAAUUAUUGGGCGUAAAGCGCGCGUAGGCGGUUUUUUAAGUCUGAUGUGAAAGCCCACGGCUCAACCGUGGAGGGUCAUUGGAAACUGGAAAACUUGAGUGCAGAAGAGGAAAGUGGAAUUCCAUGUGUAGCGGUGAAAUGCGCAGAGAUAUGGAGGAACACCAGUGGCGAAGGCGACUUUCUGGUCUGCAACUGA
Molecule: ribosomal RNA, 662 nt
Filed under: uncultured bacterium
Lineage: Bacteria
Description: bacterial SSU rRNA
Rfam family: Bacterial small subunit ribosomal RNA
Source: RNAcentral